UGGCUCAGAUUGAACGCUGGCGGCAGGCUUAACACAUGCAAGUCGAGCGGAAACGAUGGUAGCUUGCUACCAGGCGUCGAGCGGCGGACGGGUGAGUAAUACUUAGGAAUCUACCUAGUAGUGGGGGAUAGCUCGGGGAAACUCGAAUUAAUACCGCAUACGACCUACGGGAGAAAGGGGGCAGUUUACUGCUCUCGCUAUUAGAUGAGCCUAAGUCGGAUUAGCUAGAUGGUGGGGUAAAGGCCUACCAUGGCGACGAUCUGUAGCUGGUCUGAGAGGAUGAUCAGCCACACCGGGACUGAGACACGGCCCGGACUCCUACGGGAGGCAGCAGUGGGGAAUAUUGGACAAUGGGGGAAACCCUGAUCCAGCCAUGCCGCGUGUGUGAAGAAGGCCUUUUGGUUGUAAAGCACUUUAAGCAGUGAAGAAGACUCCGUGGUUAAUACCCACGGACGAUGACAUUAGCUGCAGAAUAAGCACCGGCUAACUCUGUGCCAGCAGCCGCGGUAAUACAGAGGGUGCAAGCGUUAAUCGGAAUUACUGGGCGUAAAGGGAGCGUAGGUGGCUCGAUAAGUCAGAUGUGAAAUCCCCGGGCUCAACCUGGGAACUGCAUCUGAUACUGUUGAGCUAGAGUAUGUGAGAGGAAGGUAGAAUUCCAGGUGUAGCGGUGAAAUGCGUAGAGAUCUGGAGGAAUACCGAUGGCGAAGGCAGCCUUCUGGCAUAAUACUGACACUGAGGCUCGAAAGCGUGGGUAGCAAACAGGAUUAGAUACCCUGGUAGUCCACGCCGUAAACGAUGUCUACUAGUCGUUGGGUCCCUUGAGGACUUAGUGACGCAGCUAACGCAAUAAGUAGACCGCCUGGGGAGUACGGCCGCAAGGUUAAAACUCAAAUGAAUUGACGGGGGCCCGCACAAGCGGUGGAGCAUGUGGUUUAAUUCGAUGCAACGCGAAGAACCUUACCUGGUCUUGACAUAUCUAGAAUCCUGCAGAGAUGCGGGAGUGCCUUCGGGAAUUAGAAUACAGGUGCUGCAUGGCUGUCGUCAGCUCGUGUCGUGAGAUGUUGGGUUAAGUCCCGCAACGAGCGCAACCCUUGUCCUUAGUUACCAGCGGGUUAAGCCGGGAACUCUAAGGAUACUGCCAGUGACAAACUGGAGGAAGGCGGGGACGACGUCAAGUCAUCAUGGCCCUUACGACCAGGGCUACACACGUGCUACAAUGGUAGGUACAGAGGGCAGCUACACAGCGAUGUGAUGCGAAUCUCAAAAAGCCUAUCGUAGUCCAGAUUGGAGUCUGCAACUCGACUCCAUGAAGUAGGAAUCGCUAGUAAUCGCGGAUCAGAAUGCCGCGGUGAAUACGUUCCCGGGCCUUGUACACACCGCCCGUCACACCAUGGGAGUUGAUUGCACCAGAAGUGGAUAGCUUAACCUUCGGGGGAGCG
RNAcentral lists this ribosomal RNA (1439 nucleotides) under Psychrobacter sp. EB221. RNAcentral describes it as "16S ribosomal RNA". It matches the Rfam family "Bacterial small subunit ribosomal RNA". Lineage: Bacteria; Pseudomonadati; Pseudomonadota; Gammaproteobacteria; Moraxellales; Moraxellaceae. The record is from RNAcentral.